ACGUAAAAAAAAAUCAUCUCCCACUCUCAUUCUACUUUUUUUCACUCUCUUUUACACAAAGACACACUCUAAUACGCAAGGAGAGAACUCUCCCUUCGGACGAUUCGCUGCUCCUCCGGCGUCAGCGAGGAAGCUCCCCUCAUCUCCUCCAUGUCUGGAUACCUCUCUACUCACCUACACACAACACCAUCUCUCUCCGCUGAAUUGUCGUCGUUGUCGACUGCUCGGCAGUUUCCGUCGCUGGUUUCCGACAAUCUUAGAGUAGACUUGUCUUCCCUUUGAGUAAUCCUGGCCCGAGGGAUAGCACGGGCAAGGAGAAGGCGAAGGAGUAAAGUGAUCUAGUACGGCAUUUUGGAUUUUAAGAUUGGGUGAUCAGAUUAGCUCUUUUGCUGUACAGCUGCUCAAGUCGGGUCACUAGCCAAGCUUUUGUGUUGGGUAAAUCUUUUGGAUUUGAUAAAUGUGGCAAGUAGUAGGAGUGUAAUGUACCUUGGGCGUUAUAUUACUACAUAAACUUUUGCUAAGCAUGUAUAUUUUGUGAGUAGUGUCUAGGUUGUGUGUAUGUAUAUAUAUAUAUAUAAACUUUUGGAAACAUGUUUAUGGUUUAAUUCUAGACGUUAUAUAGCA
Long non-coding RNA from Salvia splendens (bonfire salvia), 624 nucleotides. RefSeq lists it as uncharacterized. The transcript has 3 exons. The record is from RefSeq and is a predicted model, not a curated record. Lineage: Eukaryota; Viridiplantae; Streptophyta; Magnoliopsida; Lamiales; Lamiaceae.